AAUCUUGGUCAAUGGGCGAAAGCCUGAUCCAGCAAGGCCGCGUGUGUGAAGAAGGUCUUCGGAUCGUAAAGCACUUUUGGUUGGGAGGUAGGGCAGUAAGCUACUACCUCGAUGUUCUGACGUUACCGACAGAAUAAGCUUCGGCUAACUACGUGCCAGCAGCCGCGGUAAUACGGAGGGUGCAAGCGUUAGUCGGAAUUACUGGGCGUAAAGCGCGCGUAGGUGGUUUGUUAAGUUGGGAGUGAAAGCCCCGGGCUCAACCUGGGAACUGCUUUCAAAACUGGCAAGCUAGAGUAUGGCAGAGGGUGGUGGAAUUUCCUGGGUAGCGGUGAAAUGCGUAGAUAUAGGAAGGAACAUCAGUGGCGAAGGCGACCACCUGGGCUAAUACUGACACUGAGGUGCGAAAGCGUGGGGAGCAAACAG
Molecule: ribosomal RNA, 423 nt
Filed under: uncultured bacterium
Lineage: Bacteria
Description: partial 16S ribosomal RNA
Rfam family: Bacterial small subunit ribosomal RNA
Source: RNAcentral